GGCGGACGGGUGAGGAAUACAUCGGAAUCUACUCUGUCGUGGGGGAUAACGUAGGGAAACUUACGCUAAUACCGCAUACGACCUACGGGUGAAAGCAGGGACCUUCGGGCCUUGCGCGAUUGAAUGAGCCGAUGUCGGAUUAGCUAGUUGGCGGGGUAAAGGCCCACCAAGGCGACGAUCCGUAGCUGGUCUGAGAGGAUGAUCAGCCACACUGGAACUGAGACACGGUCCAGACUCCUACGGGAGGCAGCAGUG
This 255-nucleotide ribosomal RNA is filed under the name uncultured Lysobacteraceae bacterium. RNAcentral's name for it is "uncultured Xanthomonadaceae bacterium partial 16S ribosomal RNA". It matches the Rfam family "Bacterial small subunit ribosomal RNA", at positions 97 to 356 of the family's 1533-position model. The record is from RNAcentral. Lineage: Bacteria; Pseudomonadati; Pseudomonadota; Gammaproteobacteria; Lysobacterales; Lysobacteraceae.